This 497-nucleotide ribosomal RNA is filed under the name uncultured bacterium. RNAcentral describes it as "partial 16S ribosomal RNA". It matches the Rfam family "Bacterial small subunit ribosomal RNA", at positions 28 to 507 of the family's 1533-position model. The record is from RNAcentral.
GAUGAACGCUGGCGGCGUGCCUAAUACAUGCAAGUCGAGCGAACAGACGAGGAGCUUGCUCCUCUGACGUUAGCGGCGGACGGGUGAGUAACACGUGGAUAACCUACCUAUAAGACUGGGAUAACUUCGGGAAACCGGAGCUAAUACCGGAUAAUAUAUUGAACCGCAUGGUUCAAUAGUGAAAGACGGUUUUGCUGUCACUUAUAGAUGGAUCCGCGCCGCAUUAGCUAGUUGGUAAGGUAACGGCUUACCAAGGCAACGAUGCGUAGCCGACCUGAGAGGGGGACGGGCCAGAUGGGAACUGAACCAGGGACAGGACCCCAAGGGGGGGGACGGGUGGGAAUCUUUCGGAAAGGGGGGAGACACGAACGGGGAAGCGCGGGGGGAGUGAAGAAGUUGUCAGGAUCAAAAAAUUGUGUUAUGGGGAAAAAAAAAAUUUGAAAUAAAAUAGGCCCUCCUGGGGGGUACUAAAUAAGAAACCCAGGGAAAACUAGGUC